RNA transcript from Pogoniulus pusillus (Red-fronted tinkerbird), 5199 nucleotides. It is a transcript of the gene named membrane cofactor protein-like, with no coding region annotated. The transcript is spliced from 14 exons. The record is from RefSeq and is a predicted model, not a curated record. NCBI's taxonomy places the organism in Eukaryota, Metazoa, Chordata, Aves, Piciformes, Lybiidae.
CGCGGCGGGAAGGGGAGGGUCUCGCCCGCCCCGCGCCUGCGCCUCAGCCCUGCCCUGCGUCUGCGCUGCCGCCGGAGCGGGGAGCGGCUGCGCCUGCUGCAGCCAUGCGGCCGCCGAGCUGCUCUCUCGCCCGCGGUCCUCUUCUGCUGACGGUGUUGGUGCUGCCGUGGCUCGGCGGAACACGGGCUCAGGACACCUGUGCACCUCCUGAAAGGCUGACAUAUGCAGAGCCUAAGGAGGAUAUCAGCACCAUGAAGGACUUCCCUGUUGGAACCACAGUGUCCUACACCUGCAGGCCAGGGUAUGUGAGAAUCCUUGAAAAACAGUUAUCUCGUACCUGUGGUAAGGACUUGGAGUGGUCACCCAAGGAGCAGUUCUGCACAGAGAUGAAAUGCAGCCAUCCAGGAGACUUAGAGAAUGGUGCUGUUACUGUGACAGACCUCAAAUUUGGUUCAAAAGCCACUUUUUCCUGUGGAGCAGGGUUCAGGUUAGUUGGAACUAGUGAAGCUACCUGUAUAAUUGUGGAUAAAGGUGUUGCAUGGGACAGAGAUCUUCCUUUCUGUCAAAAAAUUCCUUGCAAGCCACCUCCUGACAUAGCCAACGGGCACCACACCGAAGCAGCUGAGUAUCUGUAUCAAACAUCAGUAACCUACACCUGUAAUGAUGUACCCAGAGGCUCAGAUCCCUUCUCACUCAUUGGCUCAGCUACUAUUGUCUGCACAUUUAAUCAAGACACGCUGGAUGGAGUUUGGAGUGGACCACCUCCAGAGUGUAAAGUGGUCAAAUGUACUGCCCCAAGAGUUGAAAAUGGGUUCAGAAGAAGUGGACUUGGGUUCUCUUUCACCUAUAAUGACUCGGUGGUGUUUGAGUGUAAUCCAGGCUAUUUCAUGGUGGGAUCAAACGUCGUUACCUGCACAAAAGAUAGCACCUGGUUUCCUCCCACACCAACUUGUAGGGAAGUUACUGAGAGUGGCUGUGAUGCCCCAAAGGUCACACAUGGAGUAGUGACUCCAGAGAAAUCUGUGUAUGCAACAGGAGAAUCAGUUCAGAUCAGGUGCACUGCUCCCUGUACCUUCCCUGGUGGUGCUGAAGAGAUGACAGCCACUUGCCAAGGACAGAAUACAUGGAGUCCUUUACAAGACUGUGCAUGUGAGGCAGAAGGUUCUGGUUCCACUCCUCACAUUCAUAAAGGUAGAGUAGUUGAUGGACAAAAACCUUCUUACACCGUGGGAGAUUUUAUUACCAUCGAGUGUUACGCAGGCUACACCUUACAUGGUUCAGCUCGGAUCCAGUACAUUGGAGGGAACCAGUGGGCUCCUGAAGUGCCAACUUGCCACUUGAGUGCAUAUAUUACGGCCAUCAUCUGUGUGAUUGUGGCAAUUGUGGUGAUCCUGGCAGCCUUCUGGAUCUAUAAGAAAUUCUUUUCACAGAAUGGCUUGUGCCCUCAUCAGCUCAACUCCUUAAAGCAGAGGCAGGAACCAACAGCAAAAUCGGACUGCGUCACAGAUGUAACAUGACCAUCGGCAAAACAAGUGCAGGAAGAGAUCAUGGCUGUCUCGUCAGUCAGAGAGCCUGCCCUCGGGCCCACCGAUGCUGCUGCUAUUCCUGCUGUUCCCCUGCUCUGCGGAACUGGCGCUGCAGGAGGCAAGGAUGCUCCAAGGGAGCCAGCUACAGCCAGUGAGGCUCAGCUGCUGCUCAGCGGACAGGCUGCUGCCGGAGGAACGGAGCCGUCGGGUGCAGUGUGUUUGAGCCGGUUCUGAGCCCAGCAGUUGUUGCUAAACAACCAGACCUGACGCCGGAGAUGUCAAUGAGGGAAGUAAUGCAGAUUAAAUGCUCCUGCUACCCUCCCCUUCAACUUGGUUAAGCCUCGAUGGGAUGAAAGGCUAUGGAAUAAUGUUCCUGUGCCAUACAAGAAAGCAAAGUUACCACUCCACUGCAUAAUCGGGAGAGACUUCCUCGGCCAAGAAGGACCAAGCCCAAAGUUGGUUGUGUCCUCAGCACUUCCAGCCAGAGCUGCCAUCUUCACUGCUUUGGGUGCUUUAAGAAGAGAGGUGGAAAAAUAGCACAGUAAAUGGUCAAGAGAGAAAAAUAUUCUCCCUGUCAUUUCCUCAGCCUCUCUCUGUGGAGCUGCUCUCUGCCCUCGCUCUCCCAUUCAUCCUUAUCCAGUCCUUCCCAAUCCUUCAGUCCCAGCUUUCUCAUGCUGUUCCUUCUUUUGCAAACCUUUACAGCCCCAUCAUCUGGAGCUGUUUUCAGCUCCACCUGAUGUUACCAGGCCUGUGGCAAACUCACACUUGAUGCUAACAAAAGCUGAGUUUGGCCAGGAGUGGGUUUUCACUUCUCUUAAUUAUUCCCACAGUGUAAUUUCCAGGUGCAGUCCCUGUCCCGACCAGUUUCCAGUCCUGCCACCGCUUCAGCAUCUCAGAAGGCAGAAGGAAGAAAGUGAGGAGCAGAGCCCCAGACCCCACUGCGUUCCCCUUCCCCACGGUGUGCGGCUCUGACAUGUCACUGGCACCACAACGUAGAGAAACCAAACCUCUCAGGUACCCACACGGGUGCCAGGUCCAGACCGAGGAGUUGACUGCUCCCUGCCCUCCUGCUGCCCCUGCCCGAGGGGCUCCGGCAACCACUGGGAGCCGCGGGAAGCCACCGGCAGCAGGCAGAGAGCUGCCGGCACUUUGAAGCGAGUGAAAUCAACGUUGAGAUUUGACACUCAGCCCUCGACCAAUCCGGGAGGGCUUUUCACCUGCCAUCCUUUCCUCGGCCAAUGGGAGAGCAGCUCUGGGCUGAGAGCCCUCCCCGGCCAAUGGGGAGCCAGCUCUGCCACUUAGUUAAUGAUGCAGCAGUACAGGGAAGACUAUCACAUGUGAGCUGGACCGCUGCCAACAUGGAGACACGGAGAGAGCAAGGUAAACAACUUUCCAACGCCAAAAUGAUGACAUUUAAUCCCUAAAUGCUAGCUUCCCGUCUCGACUCAUCCUUAACCCCUUUCAGCUAGGCUGGAAGCCUCUGGAAGGCACCAAUCUACCUGUCCCCAGUGCUUUUAAAAACUGGCCGAGGUGCCCUGCAAUGAUCACUGCGUCACCGUUUGCCACUUGCCCAACUACGCAGUGACAAAGCUCCCGGCUCCGGAGCGCCCGUUAACCCUGCCACCCAAAGCCUCGCCAGCAUGCCAGCCUCUGGAGAGGGAGAGAGACAGGGGGGGUGGUGCUGCUGGUGGAAAGGAGUUGGGAGGAGGGGGGGGGGGGGGCAGGAUAAAAAGCCCAAGCAAAACACACAAACAGCAGUCUUUGCAAAGUUGUCAUCUCUCCCCCACGGCUGCUGCCCUCCUCUGCAGCACGGCAGUGCCAGCGAGAGCCACAUCAGUUCAACCUGUGCCGUCGCUCCAUUGAGAAAACAGCUCUGACGCAGAACACAGCAACCAUCCCCAGCCAAAAUCCUACCGGAGGCGCUCCGGGAUCCCAACUUAGGCACAGCCCCGGGGAGGAAAGGGGACACCCUUGCAGGUCAUGUAAAAGCCGUAGCUGCAGCUCCAGCCCCAUCCUGAGCAAAGGGUACGUACGUGGGAAAGCCGAACCGGACCGAAGAGCUCUGCCCGUGCACCAGCUGCGCAGUCCUCAGCCCUCCGCUCGCCGGCUGGCGCCGCAGAAGAGAAGCUUCCAGAAAUUUCCUUGCCGUUAACCCUUGCGCUGUCUGCCCACUCUCCCUCCCCGUGGGAUUAAACGCGCCGGGGCUCCAGCAUCGUCAAAUGGGUGAAACCUCCUACGCCAAGCGAGCCCCGAUACCAUCUCUCAGGGACAGUGGCUGGUGGCAGGAGCCCUGUGCCCAGCGUCUGAAGAGCCUGAGCUAUUUUGGGAUUUGUCUGUACUACACUGAAAAUGACACCUGUUACACUCAGGCACAAAUGAGAGGAAUUGCAAGCCCCUGGCUUCUCAGGAUCCUACAGGAAAAGAAGAUCCUAUGAGCUGAGGACCUGGGAGAGUAGCCCAGAAGAUCCUGUGAGCAGGGUACCUGGGAGAGCAGCCCAGCAAAAAUAUAAUGAAGAAGAUCCUGUGAACUGGGAACCUGGCAGACUAGCCCAGAAGAUCCUAUGAGCUGGGGACCUGAGAGAGAAGCUCAGCAAAAAUACAAUGAAGAAGAUCCUAUGAGCUGAGGAUCUGGGACAGCAGCCCCGAUCCUAUGAGCUGGGCACCUGGGAGAGCAGCCCAGAAGGUCCUACAAGCUGGGCAUCUGCAAGAGCAGCCCAGGAGGUCCUAUGAGCUGGACCCCUGGGAAAGCAGCUCAGCAAAAAUAAAAUGAAGAAGUUCCUAUGAGCUGGGGACCUGGGAGAGCAUCCCAGAAGAUCCUACGAGCUGGGCAUCUGGAAGAGCAGCCCAGAAGAUCCUGUGAGUUUGGGACCUGCAAGAGCAGCCCAGAAGAUCUAUGAGCUGGGGAUGUGGGAGAGCAGCCCAGAAGAUCUGUGAGCUGGGGAUGUGGGAGAGCAGCCCAGAAGAUCUAUGAGCUGGGGAUGUGGGAGAGCAGCCCAGAAGAUCUAUGAGCUGGGGAUGUGGGAGAGCAGCCCAGAAGAUCUUACAAGCUGGGCACCUGGGAGAGCAGCCUGGCUUUUUGGUGUGAGGUGCUGGGGGUGACCCUGCUGAGCUGAACAGUGAGCCAGCAGUAGGGAAAAAAAAAAGUACAAGGCCUACUGUAGCUGAUGCAAGGGGAAAUCAGACCUCCAUGUGACCAGAAGAAGUAGUGCUUGAUCAACUAAAUGCCACCAGACAAGGUUUCUUAUGCAACCAAACCCAUGGGACUCCAAGGCUCACACACAGCCUUUGUGGCCAAAGCUGCAACGUUAACUACUUCGGUUAGGGAGGCUGCAGCAGGCAGAGCACAGCGGCUACUCGAAUGAGUCACCCCCACGGUGAUGCUCGCUGGAGUAGGUUGGUGUUUGCUAUCUCUGCUAGUUUCAGUUACCCCCUGAGUCAGCUCAGAAGCUCUCACAAGCAAGGGCAGAGUGGGUUUCCCAUGUCCCACGUCACCAUGCGCUGUGCAGCGAGCCCGGGGCCGUCUCGCUGGAGCCAGCAGACCCUGCAAAGCUCUGAGCGUGACUGCACCCAGCACUGGAGCAAGAGAAGAGCCUCAGAAAUGGGACAGCUCAGGGUGAUUUUGGCAGUCUUGUGGCGUAUUAAGAAAGUAAAAUGGAGCUUUGAUUGCUUGCAA